This is a non-coding RNA of Pelobates cultripes (western spadefoot toad), 272 nucleotides long. The record is from the annotation of a GenBank genome assembly. Lineage: Eukaryota; Metazoa; Chordata; Amphibia; Anura; Pelobatidae.
CAAACAGGAACAGCUUUCACAAGAGCUAGUGAAGCUAAGGGAGUAUACAGAGUAUAGCAAUCCCUGUAGUGAUUAUAGCUGUCCCCUCCAAACACGAGACGAGGCUGUGAGUUGAGGGUCAAGUAGAACUGCAGGUUUAUUGCACAGGUUGGAUUUAUAUACAGUGUUUCAGGUCAGAGGAACACCCCCUGGACCUGGUGGGGCACAGGAACACAAAGUACACAAACCAAUAGGAACAAUGGUACAAGGAAUGACACUCCCACACACAGAAC